Molecule: long non-coding RNA, 623 nt
Filed under: Calidris pugnax (ruff)
Lineage: Eukaryota; Metazoa; Chordata; Aves; Charadriiformes; Scolopacidae
Description: lncRNA (ENSCPUG00000016526.1)
Source: RNAcentral
AAAGCUUUUUUUGAAGUAUGUGAUUUGUUCUGGUGUUUUUAAAAUGCGUGUUUUCCCCAGCACAGAGGAUUCAUUUAAAAAGAAAAAUAUAAGCUAUAGAAAAGGAAAGGAAAAAAGAUCCAUCUCAUGCUCUCACACAAGCAGACUGACUGCAAAAGGAGGGGUCAUCUCCACAGACUUACAGAAUCCAGGCAAACUUCUGCCAGAGUCACCUGGAGAAGGAGGGAGAAAAUGACUUGACUGGUGGUCUACAAGAUGCAGUGGAAUGAGGAGCCAGUCCCACCAGGAGGACAGUGCCAAAUCUGGCAGUGAGAUCACACAGAUUCAGCUCGCGUUCGAAGUGAACUGGAAAGAAUGUCUCAAAGUACCUGCUUUGAAGUAUCUCAUCGUACAGAAACCCAAGAACCGAAGAGACAGUGAGCACAAACUGACUGAGGAACAAGAGGGUCAAGAUAUUGAUUGCAGAAAUUGAUGAAAACUUCCUUAGGUGACAUGACUUGGCUUCGGUUAUUUUCCUGUAAUCAUCAUCUUAGAAUUCGUGUCAAACUCAAAAGACCAAAAAAAUGGGGACUGUUUAGAGUAUGCAAUGAAACCUAAAUUCAUCACUGAUGGUAAAACAACUC